UAACUUCCCUCUAGACCUAGCUGCUAUAGAUGCUCCAUCUGUAAAUGGAUAAGAUGUUAGCCUUAUUGUAUAAGAGUUAUUGAAAAAUAAAGGAGCAAUAAUUUCCUUCUUAUUCUCUUAAGAUAAGAGGGUCUUAUUGCUCCUUUAUUUAUUUUUUAUUUAGUUAUUUUAGUAGUAAUUGUACUUAAAUAUAGAUAUAUAUUUUUUUUUCAUUUUAAAAAAUUUAAAGAAAAGUAAAGUUCGAAUAUGAAAUAAAAAAAAUAUAAAAAUAGAGUAUAUAAAAAUAGAGUAGAGGGGCGGAUGUAG
RNAcentral lists this unclassified non-coding RNA (306 nucleotides) under Randia moorei. Its description in RNAcentral is "partial miscellaneous RNA". Lineage: Eukaryota; Viridiplantae; Streptophyta; Magnoliopsida; Gentianales; Rubiaceae. The record is from RNAcentral.